AUUGAACGCUGGCGGCGUGCCUAACACAUGCAAGUCGAGCGGUAACAGGUGUAGCAAUACAUGCUGACGAGCGGCGAACGGGUGAGUAAUGCUUCGGAAUCUACCUUAUGGUGGGGAAUAACUAGCCGAAAGGUUAGCUAAUACCGCAUACGUCCUACGGGAGAAAGCAGGGGAUCGUAAGACCUUGCGCCAAAAGAUGAGCCGAAGUCGGAUUAGCUAGUUGGUAGGGUAACGGCCACCAAGGCGACGAUCCGUAGCUGGUCUGAGAGGACGACAGCCACACUGGGACUGAGACACGGCCCAGACUCCUACGGGAGGCAGCAGUGGGGAAUAUUGGACAAUGGGGGAAACCCGUGAUCCAGCGACGCCGCGUGUGUGAAGAAGGCC
Molecule: ribosomal RNA, 387 nt
Filed under: uncultured bacterium
Lineage: Bacteria
Description: bacterial SSU rRNA
Rfam family: Bacterial small subunit ribosomal RNA
Source: RNAcentral